This 4989-nucleotide long non-coding RNA is filed under the name Pelobates cultripes (western spadefoot toad). Lineage: Eukaryota; Metazoa; Chordata; Amphibia; Anura; Pelobatidae. The record is from RNAcentral.
CACCAUAUCGAUUGUAGGGGUGUACCAAGACACCGCUACCCACCAUAUCCAUUGUAGGGGUGUACCAAGACACCGCUACCCACCAGUUCCAGUGUAGGGUGUACCAAGACACCACCACACCCCCAGGUUCGGAGCCACCGACGGGCUCGAACCUACCAACCACGUGCAACACUGCCCAAUCCACACUAAACCUCAGGAUGCCCACUUUCUCCUCCAUCUACCCUCCGAUUUAACCAGGCCAUUCCCAGCUCAGGACUUGACACCUAUAACUCCUGAGCGACCCCCACCACACCGGAAUAAGGCCUGUUGAAUGCCUUCCUGAGUACCCAGGGAGCUUUCCUCCCAAUUCGUUGUGUCUCACUGUUACACCGCCCCCACAUCUGAUAAAUACCGCCAUCAAUUUCUUAUUAAGUCAUCCUCGACACCGAGCUACCAUGGCCGGGUACGUAGUAUGUCUCCAAUGUAACCGAGGAACCAUCUCGGACCGCACCACCACCACACCCGUGGCCAGCUCCCAUAGCCGGUCCACCUCCCUCUGCCUCCACCUGAUCAAUUCCUUUUCCGGGACCAUGCCAAUAUCCAGAAUGUCCUGGACAGUACCCCUUGUUACCAACCGGAAAAUUUUCUCCCCUAAUGUCUUGCCACCAAAAUCCCCGAAAACCAAAACCACUCCUGCUCCACCAAUUCCAAAGGAAAGCCCAGUUGCUUUUGAACUGAAACGCGGCUCCCAUCUGUGCCCCUUAGAUAUAAGAAUGACCCACCAACCAUGUCACCAAACCUGAAACGAAAGUAAUUAGCGACAAGGCAUAGCCCCAAACACAAACCCAUACGUUCAUAGCCAUUAAACCAAAUAGACUGGCCUGAAACAGGACUUAAACCGUACUGACUUCCACCUGCCUAAACGUUUCCCUAGGUCCUCACUUAAAACCAGGCGGGGCGCCUCUGUUACCGCCAUCAUCCGGGAAGAAUGGGUCCCAAAGUGCCCAGGAUCCAAACCCUACAUUUUCAAACCCCUCCGAACAAACACCUGCGGGAAUUGAAUCGUGACAGCACCGAUCUGUCCCCUUUUACCAGUUAGCUACCCAGGAUGUCCGGGCAAAGCUCCAAGCAGCAUGAUGCGCUUAACACCGGGCGUACCCCUGACCCCGGCAGGGAAUAUAGCUUUACCCAACCUCCUUUACCAGACACAUCCGUUCUUGAACAACCCUACUGAAUCGUUACCUUAACCGACUGAGGUUCGACAACCGAGUGUAGAACCCCCCAACACCUGCCCGAAGGCACUCACCAGUUCCCCAAUCCAAAUUGCCCCAAGCCUCCGAGAAGGCCACCGCAAGCAAACUCACUGCAAAAGUAGAGAAAUACACCACCAGGCGUUGCGUUACCCAAGGAAACCCGCCGCCAGGCACCGACAUAUUUCAUACCUCUCCGUAAGACCCGCGAUGCCUGACGGACGUGACAACGUUCCGUCACUUCCUCCCAAUCGGUCAGUUUGAACCCUAACGACAAUGCCGCCAUGCUCCGGUCCAUUGCCGAUGGAGCUAACGCUGAAUGAACAAACGGCUUAGUAACCACAGCAAGGUAUCCCUUCGCCCCUCCUUUGACUGGGCCCCCACAGUGAAACCAACCUCCUUGUCCCACAUAUCUCAAACGUUCACAUAGGCAGUCCCUGUGCCCGGUGCCAUAGGAUUCUGUAUCGAUCCUCCAAGCAUGGCGUCUCGAGCUGCCACAUUUCCUCCAGACCGGACUGUCCCUCCUCCCUGCCCCCUGGGGCCGCCAUUCGCAGCUUGUCCCCUUGUGCGCGAGCCAAGUAACCAGCCCCUACCUUCCGCCAACCAGGCACGUGGCGUGCCUGCACCCGAUACCUGAACAGUGAUACAAAUCGCCGCCAUCGGCGUACCUCCUGAACCGAGGACCCGGCUGGAUGGUAAACCAUAUGAACCCCACCGUAUUGUGCAUGAAUUAUGACUUUUCAUCCCUUAAUACUUCACCUUUUAGAGCCACAGCCACUCCCAAUGGAAAUAACUCAAAAGAUGCCAACUUCGAAUAAGAGUACUUACUUUUCAUGCCUCCCACCACUGCUCUGCGCACCACCUGCCUUCCAGGUAUGCCCCGGAAUCUAUGUUCCAAGAGGAAUCCGUGAACAACGCGAUACCACCCGCAAAGGCUCCACAAGUAGCCUUCGCCAUGAAAUGGCUACCGACCCAGUCCUCGCGACUAACCCGAAAUGCUACUUGAAACUGCCUUAUGAACAACUGCGAUUUCUCAGUGACCUUCUUGGACCUGCGAACCUUCAGCCUGAACUCCCAAAGUGCAGUCAACUGAACCCCAGGCAAUCGGCACUCUCCUACCACCGAAACAAUUUCCAGCCCAAGCAAAGACGUGCGGUAGGAUUCCCGCGACCGUAAGGUAUGUCCACAACGGCCCGGCCCAGCCGAGCCCACACAGCAAGCUAUCUUACAGAUAAUGUACUAAGGAACCCCUUUCUGAUUCCUCUUUCACCUCCCACUCCCAGACGGAUCCAACUUCCCGAAGUAGGAACAUGAAUGGAACUGCCCCUUGGCAAGUAGAGGUUACCAAUAGGAACCUGCAAACAUGCAACCCAAAAGAUGGAAGGGUGGCCAAUAAUCGAACGCGUCCUGUUCCCCCAAACCAACUCGACGGCAAGGCCGAAUGAUGCCAACGAUACAGAACAGUUCCGCGGCGAUGUCCUCAUUUACCAAUGCCCCUUUCGGGUGCGAUAAGUUUUGUAUCGGACGGAAUUUGCCCGCCCAUUUCUAGGGGACCACCCCCAUGGAGACACCCACAGGUCCGCUAAUGGCUCGGAAGUUCCCCCAUGGACUUGAUAUUCGCCCACCACUUUUCCUGGUCCCUCGACUUUGAAUGGAAUAGCGUAAACCCCCUCAACAAUCCCAGCCAUAAAACUAGCGCAUUCAUGGGAGGCUUACUGCCUUAGCCACAGCAGCAAUGCACUGAUCAUCACUGGUGCCGCUCCGAGCCGCUACCGCAGGGCUGAAGCCCUGCCGAGUACCCUUCCUGCCUUAGGUUUUCCUUUCUUGACGCGUCAAUUGACACCGUGACUCCCACCGCCUCCGGAACACCCGUAUCGAAACCUACCCGACGGUCCCCAGUUGCACUGACCUUUCUUCUGUCCAGCCAGCACCGCACCUCCUGGGGGUUCGCCGGCAGCCCCCGGAUAGAGCGCAUUUCCUGCACCAUCAUUAGGAACCACCCCUUUUAAAUCAAUGAACUCCUCGAGCGGAAGACAGGAAUUUUUUUUUUCCCAAUGUCCCAGCGAAGGACACGUACCCAUUUUGUUGCGCCGCGCCUGGAAUAUUGCGACACAUCUAACUGUUCUCCUGCCCCGUCAGAUGUCCCCGGUACCGGUACACCGUAUUCCCCUUCCCUUACCCGGCACGCCGUCACCACCACCCUUACUUCGGCCUCCCGACUGCGCUCUGGUGACCCCACCCUUCCGCACCGCGGGGACGGCCCCUUUUUUCCUUGAUCAUGACUCUAAAAUGAUUUUUGCAAUUUAAAAAAGUGUGGUGUUUAUUGACUCACCGCCUGAACCCCCGUCUGCGCUGUCCUUCCAUCCACCUUGCCAGGCUCUGGAGUAUCCGGUGGAUGCCAACUCCUGUCCGCGCUGGUCCAGCCUCAAAACCGUAGAAGUAACACUCCUCAACCUGCUCCUCCAGCCUUCAUCCAACCUCCCGCUGCUGCUGUGCCUGUCAUUGUCGUUGCGCUGCUCCCUCCCGUACUCACACCUGCUGAUGCUCCUCCUGUGUUCCUGCUCCUGAGAACGCCCCCCAGGGGGCUUCCGCUUGCCUCUGUGCCUUACGUCCAUUUCCACCCGUCCAUGUCCUCUCUUCUGCCCUCUCUCCGGCCGCCUCAUCCACUUGUGGCACCUUUAAUUAAUCCUGGUUGCUGGCCUUCCCCUCCAUAGCUGCUCUGCUGCGCCUGUGAAAACUCCGCCUGCUGCUUUCACUAUCCCCUUCCUUCACCUCUGACCUGACUCUGGCCCCAUCCAGGGCUGCCUCUGUCUGUGUCCCGCCGACCUGGACCCCCCCUGCCUGCCUAUUCGGGGGGGGGACCGCUUUUACACUGCUGGGCCCUUGCAUCAUUUCCCCUGUCCCUCAGGUAUGCCACCAGGGGCAGACUCACCAGGACGCCUCUUGCCGCUCGCCCUGCCUGGCGGCCAUCAUGUCAUGCUGGAUUCCGUUGUCCUUUGUGCUUUCCCGCCCCCCCCCCCCGCCUUAUUGCAGGGGGCGCUCUUCUUGUGCAGCCUCAUCCUGACCUGUCAUCUUGCCUGACCGGUGCCGCGUCGAACAUACGGCGCCAGCCGCCCUCCAACUCCUGCCUGCUUUCCGACCUCAUUUUCAGCCUUCCCCUUGCCGCCUCCUGACAGGCUCACGGGCUGCCGAACUAACAAUGUCACUCACAGGCUGCCGCUGGGGCGUCCUCGCUCUCCUUGCUGGCCUCUGUUCCACCGCCACGUGGGGGGGAGGGGAGGUAUGAGACGUGCUCGGGGCCCCCAGCUGCUCCUGCAGCCACCAGCCACGAUUCUGCCACAACCUUUGUGACCAGGAAGGUGGCUUGCUUGGAGUUCUGUCUGAGGCUGAUGGGAGUGAGCAUGCAGCAGCAGCAGCUCACUCCAGCCUCUCCUGUACCUCCAUGCUGUCUCCUGUACCUCCAUGCUGCCUCUGUUCUUCUAUGCUGCCUCCAUGCUGCUGAUGGGAGUGAUCAUGUAGUAGCAGCUCACUCCAGCCUUUCCUGUAUCUCCAUGCAGGGCCGCCAUCAGGGCAUGACAACCGCAACGGUUGUCAUGGGCCCGGCGGUCCUGGGGGGCCCGGACUGCUCAGGUCGUCCAGGCCCCACAUUCAGUGGGUACAUACCGGGUCGCAGGGGGUCCUGCGACCCGGUAUGUACCCACAGGGCCAGCCUCUUCUCCUGGGAGGCCCAGCAGCCGGUCACCUCGGGCGCCCCCCAGAG